Molecule: ribosomal RNA, 505 nt
Filed under: Melanconis itoana
Lineage: Eukaryota; Fungi; Ascomycota; Sordariomycetes; Diaporthales; Melanconidaceae
Description: partial 28S ribosomal RNA
Rfam family: Eukaryotic large subunit ribosomal RNA
Source: RNAcentral
CUUCGGCCCGAGUUGUAAUUUGCAGAGGAUGUAUUUGGCGCGGUGCCUUCCGAGUUCCCUGGAACGGGACGCCAUAGAGGGUGAGAGCCCCGUCUGGUUGGACACUAAGCCUAUGUAAUACUCCUUCGACGAGUCGAGUAGUUUGGGAAUGCUGCUCUAAAUGGGAGGUAAAUCUCUUCUAAAGCUAAAUACCGGCCAGAGACCGAUAGCGCACAAGUAGAGUGAUCGAAAGAUGAAAAGCACCUUGAAAAGGGGGUUAAACAGUACGUGAAAUUGUUGAAAGGGAAGCGUUUAUGACCAGACUUGUGCCGUGUGGCUCAUCCGGGGUUCUCCCCGGUGCACUCCAUACGGUUCAGGCCAACAUCGGUUCUCGUUGGGGGAUAAGAACAGUAGGAACGUGGCCCUCUUCGGAGGGUGUUAUAGCCUAUUGUACGAUACCUUGAUGGGGACCGAGGACCGCGCUUCGGCUAGGAUGUUGGCGUAAUGGUCAUUAGCGACCCGUCUU